RNAcentral lists this ribosomal RNA (468 nucleotides) under uncultured bacterium. Its description in RNAcentral is "partial 16S ribosomal RNA". It matches the Rfam family "Bacterial small subunit ribosomal RNA", at positions 28 to 507 of the family's 1533-position model. The record is from RNAcentral.
GACGAACGCUGGCGGCGUGCUUAACACAUGCAAGUCGAACGGAAAGGCCCUGCUUUUGUGGGGUGCUCGAGUGGCGAACGGGUGAGUAACACGUGAGUAACCUGCCCUUGAUUUUGGGAUAACUUCAGGAAACUGGGGCUAAUACCGGAUAGGAGCUCCUGCUGCAUGGUGGGGGUUGGAAAGUUUCGGCGGUUGGGGAUGGACUCGCGGCUUAUCAGUUUGUUGGUGGGGUAGUGGCUUACCAAGGCUUUGACGGGUAGCCGGCCUGAGAGGGUGACCGGCCACAUUGGGACUGAGAUACGGCCCAGACUCCUACGGGAGGCAGCAGUGGGGAAUAUUGCACAAUGGGCGGAAGCCUGAUGCAGCAACGCCGCGUGCGGGAUGACGGCCUUCGGGUUGUAAACCGCUUUCGCCUGUGACGAAGCGUGAGUGACGGUAAUGGGUAAAGAAGCACCGGCUAACUACGUG